AUUGAACGCUGGCGGAAUGCUUUACACAUGCAAGUCGAACGGCAGCACGGGUGCUUGCACCUGGUGGCGAGUGGCGAACGGGUGAGUAAUGCACCGGAACGUAUCCAAUAAUGGGGGAUAACGCACCGAAAGGUGUGCUAAUACCGCAUACGCCCUGAGGGGGAAAGCGGGGGGAUCGUAAGACCUCGCGUUAAUGGAGCGGCCGAUGCCGGAUUAGCUAGUGGUGAGGUAAAGGCUCACCAAGGCGACGAUCCGUAGCUGGUCUGAGAGGACGACCAGCCACACUGGAACUGAGACACGGUCCAGACUCCUACGGGAGGCAGCAGUGGGGAAUUUUGGACAAUGGGCGCAAGCCUGAUCCAGCCAUUCCGCGUGAGUGAAGAAGG
RNAcentral lists this ribosomal RNA (386 nucleotides) under uncultured bacterium. RNAcentral describes it as "bacterial SSU rRNA". It matches the Rfam family "Bacterial small subunit ribosomal RNA", at positions 29 to 414 of the family's 1533-position model. The record is from RNAcentral.